CGUAUUACAGAAUACUAACAUCGAAAAACUAUCGUCGAGUACGAGGAAGAGAUCGAUCAUCAGCGCAGACUGCUGGAUAUCGUUUGGAAACCGGAAAUAAAGCUACACAGGACAGAGCUCCAACAGCAACAUGUCUGUAAGGAGGAGGAGGUUCUCACUGACCAGCAGCUCUGUGACCAGGAGAGGAACUCCAGUGUUGGACAGCCGUUUGAAACCCGAAAUAAAGCUACACAGGAUAGACAUCCGUCAGCAACAUGUCUGUAAGGAGAAGGAGGUUCUCACUGACCAGCAGCUCUGUGACCAGAAGAGGAACUCCAGUCUGGACCAGGAGGACCCAGAGCCUCCACAGACUAA
Molecule: long non-coding RNA, 354 nt
Organism: Seriola dumerili (greater amberjack)
Lineage: Eukaryota; Metazoa; Chordata; Actinopteri; Carangiformes; Carangidae
Exons: 3
Source: RefSeq, a predicted model, not a curated record